CUGCAGCACACCCAAGGAUGCUGGAGUUGUGCAGGGGUCCUUGUGCCCACCCCCCCUCUCUGGGUGGUUUGAGGCUGGUGCUCUGCAUGGUGGGCUCUGCACCUCCUUAUGCCCACGCAGGGUCUAAGCUAUUGAAGCUCACCCAACGAGUUCUUGCUGUGAAAAAAACAAGCAGCCUCAGGCAAGAUUGUCAAAAAUACCUGUGCCACCAGGGCACUGCUGGCUAUUUUUAAUAAUUCUAUCCUCUACCUCCAUCUGUACUACUACUAUUUUUAUAAUCGCUUCUCUGCUUUCAACUCCUUAUCUUCUUUAGCUUUCCCUCUCCUUUUCACUCUUUAUACCCUAAAAUCUUUUCAUCACUUUUUUUUUUUCUUUUUGGGGUCUGAUUGAGCUUUAUUUCUUCUCCUCUGCCAGAUUUAUGUGAGUUGUCCUGUCCAGCAGCCGUUUGUCUCUGCCUGAUGACAGACUUGCCUUCCCAUCCCCCCAAAUCAGAUUCAUGGCUGUUCUUUAAGGCCCUUUAAUAUUUUAAUACUCUGACUAUAAAUUUCAUUUUCUUUAAGCUUCAAUCCUUCUGUGGGCCUUCCCGCGGCUGGGUCGGUGGCUGCUCCCCGACGUGAUUUGCGGUGUGUCACAGGCAGCGUUUGGGGUGGCUUUGCUCCGUGCACGGGAGCGGAGGACAGGGGAGGGAGUGUAGCAGGAAUUCGCUUUUCCUUAAGCUCAGACAAUUCUUCAAAACUUGACAGGAAUUGACUUUUUUUUUUUUUUUUGCUUCCAAGCUGUGAUUUGUUGUGGGCUUGUGGUGCUUUUUAUUAAAAUGCUCUCGUAGAGUGCUUAAAAAGGUUGGCUUUACACAGCCCCAGCUUCCUUCUUUAAUAAAUGCAGCCUUGGCUUACAGUUUUUCCCUCUGAUGUGUCAGCUGGGGAACUUGCUCUCCAUCUCAAAUACACCCAGACUGCUUAAAUCAUCCUUAUUUCUCUCGGAGGGAGAGAGACUUUCUGCUCUCAGAAACUUUUCAUACCCUAAGUUAAUAAAACUUCUCUGCUGAAAAGGACAGAUGUGACACUGUGCUGAGGAUUUCAUGGCCAAGCGCUGGAUUAUUGCUGUGGUGUAAAAGGCUCCCCAGCUCUGGGCUCUGCUGAGCACCCACUGGAGCAGCUGAUGUAAGGCUGAAAGGACACAGUGUGGACAGAGCAGUGUGACACCAGCUGCGGUGGGGUGCCUGUGCUCAGCUCACCAGGAGUCAGCGCUUGGGGGUUCACCAACACCUUUUGUGUCCAGGAGUUUCACAGAGGGAACUGCGAUCAGCAAACCUAAUCUAUUUGCAGAGGAGGAUGCAAUGAGUUGAAUGCACUGAUGACUUUUUUUUUUUUUCCCUGUUGAAGUUACAAUCAAACACAGUUUUCUGUAGAAG
Falco peregrinus (peregrine falcon) is the source of this 1411-nucleotide long non-coding RNA. RefSeq lists it as uncharacterized. The transcript is spliced from 3 exons. Lineage: Eukaryota; Metazoa; Chordata; Aves; Falconiformes; Falconidae. The record is from RefSeq and is a predicted model, not a curated record.